Non-coding RNA from Amborella trichopoda, 111 nucleotides. The record is from Rfam. Lineage: Eukaryota; Viridiplantae; Streptophyta; Magnoliopsida; Amborellales; Amborellaceae.
UUGAGCCGGAUGAAAGGAAACUUUCACGUCCGAUUUUGAAAGGGGGAGAUCCUAUAGGAUCCUAUCCGAAUUUUUCUUUUGCUAGGCCCAUAGCUAAAAAACCUACUUUCU